GCUGGGUGUGGUGGCGCAAGCCUGUAAUCCCAGCUACUUGGGAGGCUGAGGCAGAAGAAUCGCUUGAACCUGGGAGGCAGAGGUUGCAGUGAGCCGAGAUCGUGCCACUGCACUCCAGCCUGAGUAACAGAGCGAGACUCAGUCUCAA
Molecule: non-coding RNA, 148 nt
Filed under: Homo sapiens (human)
Lineage: Eukaryota; Metazoa; Chordata; Mammalia; Primates; Hominidae
Source: Rfam by way of RNAcentral